RNAcentral lists this non-coding RNA (24 nucleotides) under Gossypium hirsutum (cotton). The record is from RNAcentral. Lineage: Eukaryota; Viridiplantae; Streptophyta; Magnoliopsida; Malvales; Malvaceae.
ACUCAAAACUUACCUGGGAUGUAU